GAUGAACGCUGGCGGCGUGCCUAAUACAUGCAAGUCGAGCGAACAGACGAGGAGCUUGCUCCUCUGACGUUAGCGGCGGACGGGUGAGUAACACGUGGAUAACCUACCUAUAAGACUGGGAUAACUUCGGGAAACCGGAGCUAAUACCGGAUAAUAUAUUGAACCGCAUGGUUCAAUAGUGAAAGACGGUUUUGCUGUCACUUAUAGAUGGAUCCGCGCCGCAUUAGCUAGUUGGUAAGGUAACGGCUUACCAAGGCAACGAUGCGUAGCCGACCUGAGAGGGUGAUCGGCCGAACUAGAAGUGAGACACGGUCCAGACUCCUAGGGGAGGCAGCAAUAGGGAAUCUUCCGCAAUAGACCAAAACCUAACGGAGCAACGCCGCGUGAGUGAUGAAGGGCUUCGGAUCGGAAAACUCUGUUAUUAGGGAAGAACAAAUGUGUAAGUAACUAUGCACGUCUUGACGGUACCUAAUCAGAAAGCCACGGCUAACUACGUG
RNAcentral lists this ribosomal RNA (497 nucleotides) under uncultured bacterium. RNAcentral's name for it is "partial 16S ribosomal RNA". It matches the Rfam family "Bacterial small subunit ribosomal RNA", at positions 28 to 507 of the family's 1533-position model. The record is from RNAcentral.